This 260-nucleotide ribosomal RNA is filed under the name Limosilactobacillus oris. RNAcentral's name for it is "Lactobacillus oris partial 16S ribosomal RNA". It matches the Rfam family "Bacterial small subunit ribosomal RNA", at positions 390 to 642 of the family's 1533-position model. The record is from RNAcentral. Lineage: Bacteria; Bacillati; Bacillota; Bacilli; Lactobacillales; Lactobacillaceae.
AGCAACACCGCGUGAGUGAAGAAGGGUUUCGGCUCGUAAAACUCUGUUGUUGGAGAAGAACGUGCGUAAGAGUAACUGUUUACGCAGUGACGGUAUCCAACCAGAAAGUCACGGCUAACUACGUGCCAGCAGCCGCGGUAAUACGUAGGUGGCAAGCGUUAUCCGGAUUUAUUGGGCGUAAAGCGAGCGCAGGCGGUUGCUUAGGUCUGAUGUGAAAGCCUUCGGCUUAACCGAAGAAGUGCAUCGGAAACCGGGCGACU